ACUCCUACGGGUGGCGGCAGUGGGGAAUUUUGGACAAUGGGGGCAACCCUGAUCCAGCAAUGCCGCGUGUGUGAAGAAGGCUUUCGGGUUGUAAAGCACUUUUGUCCGGAAAGAAAACGCCGUGGUUAAUACCCGUGGCGGAUGACGGUACCGGAAGAAUAAGCACCGGCUAACUACGUGCCAGCAGCCGCGGUAAUACGUAGGGUGCAAGCGUUAAUCGGAAUUACUGGGCGUAAAGCGUGCGCAGGCGGUCCGCUAAGACAGAUGUGAAAUCCCCGGGCUUAACCUGGGAACUGCAUUUGUGACUGGCGGGCUAGAGUAUGGCAGAGGGGGGUAGAAUUCCACGUGUAGCAGUGAAAUGCGUAGAGAUGUGGAGGAAUACCGAUGGCGAAGGCAGCCCCCUGGGCCAAUACUGACGCUCAUGCACGAAAGCGUGGGGAGCAAACAGGAUUAGAUACCCUGGUAGUCCACGCCCUAAACGAUGUCAACUAGUUGUCGGGUCUUCAUUGACUUGGUAACGUAGCUAACGCGUGAAGUUGACCGCCUGGGGAGUACGGUCGCAAGAUUAAAACUCAAAGGAAUUGACGGGGACCCGCACAAGCGGUGGAUGAUGUGGAUUAAUUCGAUGCAACGCGAAAAACCUUACCUACCCUUGACAUGUAUGGAAUCCUGCUGAGAGGUGGGAGUGCCCGAAAGGGAGCCAUAACACAGGUGAUGCAUGGUUGUCGUCAGCUC
This 735-nucleotide ribosomal RNA is filed under the name uncultured bacterium. RNAcentral describes it as "bacterial SSU rRNA". It matches the Rfam family "Bacterial small subunit ribosomal RNA", at positions 335 to 1061 of the family's 1533-position model. The record is from RNAcentral.